Molecule: unclassified non-coding RNA, 380 nt
Filed under: soil metagenome
Description: partial contains 5.8S ribosomal RNA, internal transcribed spacer 2, and large subunit ribosomal RNA
Rfam family: 5.8S ribosomal RNA (bases 1-120)
Source: RNAcentral
GAUGAAGAACGCAGCGAAAUGCGAUAAGUAAUGUGAAUUGCAGAAUUCAGUGAAUCAUCGAAUCUUUGAACGCACCUUGCACCCUUUGGCAUUCCGAAGGGUAUGCUCGUUUGAGUGUCAUUGUACUCUCACACUCCCAAUUGCUUUGGAUUGGGAGCGGUGGACUUGGGUGUUGCUGCUUGACUGAGGCUCACCUGAAAUAUGUUAGUGCAACUCUUGGUUGACCAUAGUACGGCGUGAUAAGUGUCUUCGCCGGCACCUCACUGGGUGGGCCGAUCGGGAGCUCUGUGCUUCAAACCGUCUUCGGACAACAACUGACAACUUGACCUCAAAUCGAGUAGGACCACCCGCUGAACUUAAGCAUAUCAAUAAGCGGAGGA